This 73-nucleotide transfer RNA is filed under the name Bacteroidaceae bacterium. RNAcentral's name for it is "tRNA-Met". It matches the Rfam family "tRNA". From Rfam's summary of the family: Transfer RNA (tRNA) molecules are approximately 80 nucleotides in length. The record is from RNAcentral. Lineage: Bacteria; Pseudomonadati; Bacteroidota; Bacteroidia; Bacteroidales; Bacteroidaceae.
CGCGGAGUGGAGCAGUUGGCAGCUCGCCAGGCUCAUAACCUUGAGGUAACCGGUUCGAUUCCGGUCGCCGCAA